GUUAAGUGAGCCUUGAUUUACUCAGAAAAGGUUUGACACACAUGGACCAGGGCACCCACGCAGUCAGUCGACCCAGUGCUGUGCGUUUCCAGUGCCCCUUUAAUGCCCCUGGCAUUAAAACACAUUUUCUGACAUUUGUUUCCUACAGAAAACCAACAGUCCCUUUCAAUUCGAGGUUGCUCUACGAAGAGUGUUUGUGAUAAUCUACUAACAUCCUCGGUCACCGGAUUCACAGAUACAAAUGUCAAGUUCUUCUGUACUAUGCCCGGAGAAUCUGGU
This is a non-coding RNA of Pelobates cultripes (western spadefoot toad), 279 nucleotides long. NCBI's taxonomy places the organism in Eukaryota, Metazoa, Chordata, Amphibia, Anura, Pelobatidae. The record is from the annotation of a GenBank genome assembly.